Molecule: non-coding RNA, 29 nt
Filed under: Callithrix jacchus (white-tufted-ear marmoset)
Lineage: Eukaryota; Metazoa; Chordata; Mammalia; Primates; Cebidae
Also listed under: 3 other names
Source: RNAcentral
CAUAGCUGCCUUCCAAGCAGUUGACCCGG